Long non-coding RNA from Wasmannia auropunctata (little fire ant), 1445 nucleotides. RefSeq lists it as uncharacterized. The record is from RefSeq and is a predicted model, not a curated record. NCBI's taxonomy places the organism in Eukaryota, Metazoa, Arthropoda, Insecta, Hymenoptera, Formicidae. The transcript is spliced from 2 exons.
ACGACGGAAAGAGCGCUUUCGAGCGACAGGCACCUAUUCAGCAUUGGCGAUUCUUCCCGCCGCAGAAAGGGAGGAAGGGCCUACUUUCUAACGGAGCCCCAUCGGUUAAGCGUCACGUUCCAGAGAACUCGCGGCCUACAAGCGAGCUACUGCGAGUUAAUGGUGUCAAUAUCUGACUUUGGCUACGCUGCACGCGGCGCGCUUAACGCAAGAGUUUUUAAAAACGCCAGCUAUUUACGCGCGUCUCAUAACGGGAAGCAUUCAAAGAAAAGCAGCUAAUGUCGUACACCUUUUCUAUUCUUUCGUUUAAAUUGCAAAUUAAUGAAAACACCGCGCGACAUAUGCGUGUUUGGAAAGCGCAAAUAUAACGUUUACACAAUUUGCCAGCUCUCUCGCUACAUUCACAUCAAUGUAAUGCAAGAAAGGCUAUUUAUGAAAGAAACGAUUUAUUUGCGGUAGAGAAGAUUAGAGAUCUUAUAUAAAUUUUAAUCGUACACUUACUCGUAAAUCUAUAAUGGUUUAUAGCAAAUAAAUUCGCGGAUUGCGUGAAAUAAUUUACCGUUGCGUUACGUCAAGGACUUGCACGCCAGUCGUGUCUGUCUACCUGUAUGAACGCGCGAAACCGGCGAUAACAGUUCGAACGUAUACACACGGCGACGAUUACGUCAGCUUUAAAAUUAUAUCGCGCGACAUAAUCGCCGGAAUCGCUCGCGUAGAUAAACGAGCAUGCAACAAAGUGGCUCUCGUCAACGCACACCGAUCUUGUCAAUAGGCGCUACAAGGUGGUUCACUUAUCUCGAUAAAAAUUACAGCCUAACUUUCGGCAAGUUAGUGUUUACUUGCGACACUGAGCAAAUGUACGCACGUAACAUAAAUGAUAUCUCUUGUGUAAAGUAGCCAAGAAAAAAAACGAAUAAUUAUAGAUGCAAUUAAUAGGAGUAAUAUAUAGUUAAUUUUAUAGUUUAAUUAAACAAUUGAAAGAGGUGCUACAGAUGUCAGUUGGCAAGGAAAGAGUAUAUUAUGAAAACGAAAAAUGAAAUUAAUAAGGAUUUCAGAUCUAAUUGGCAGUGCAGAGUAAACGUAAACAAAAAAUUCGACGUUACAAGCAUGGAUAUUAUGUAGUAAUGCACUUAUGUAACAGCAUACUAACUUUGGUUAUGGUAAUCGAUGACGUCAUAUCUCGUGAACAUGUUGUAAGUGGCCGAGAACACUGGGGCAUUGUGAUUGUUUGGAUUUCACGACUUCAACGGGAACAUAAUGGUUUCAUAUUUAAUAUUCAUAAUGUGGACGACGGCAGAAAAUAAGGAAGUUACAAAACAGGCAGCGUGUUUUUACCAGAGGCUGAAUGUUUUUGUAUCGACAAAUGGAAAUACCGAUUCGUAUAAAACAUGCAUAUGCAUAUGCAUUAUCAAUCAGGUUUCAUUAAAUAUCAAAGUCGAUCUCAA